This 254-nucleotide ribosomal RNA is filed under the name uncultured bacterium. RNAcentral describes it as "partial 16S ribosomal RNA". It matches the Rfam family "Bacterial small subunit ribosomal RNA", at positions 524 to 776 of the family's 1533-position model. The record is from RNAcentral.
CACGUAGGGGGCAAGCGUUGUCCGGAUUUAUUGGGCGUAAAGAGCUCGUAGGCGGCUUGGUAAGUCAGGUGUGAAACCCCCGGGCUCAACCCGGGGACGCCACCUGAUACUGCUAUGGCUAGAGUCCGGUAGGGGAGCGUGGAAUUCCUGGUGUAGCGGUGAAAUGCGCAGAUAUCAGGAGGAACACCAGCGGCGAAGGCGGCGCUCUGGGCCGGAACUGACGCUGAGGAGCGAAAGCGUGGGGAGCAAACAGG